Molecule: ribosomal RNA, 1874 nt
Filed under: Lactiplantibacillus plantarum
Lineage: Bacteria; Bacillati; Bacillota; Bacilli; Lactobacillales; Lactobacillaceae
Description: bacterial SSU rRNA
Rfam family: Bacterial small subunit ribosomal RNA
Source: RNAcentral
CGUUGCGGUUCUAUACAUGCAGUCGACGACUCUGGUAUUGAUUGGUGCUUGCAUCAUGAUUUACAUUUGAGUGAGUGGCGAACUGGUGAGUAACACGUGGGAAACCUGCCCAGAAGCGGGGGAUAACACCUGGAAACAGAUGCUAAUACCGCAUAACAACUUGGACCGCAUGGUCCGAGCUUGAAAGAUGGCUUCGGCUAUCACUUUUGGAUGGUCCCGCGGCGUAUUAGCUAGAUGGUGGGGUAACGGCUCACCAUGGCAAUGAUACGUAGCCGACCUGAGAGGGUAAUCGGCCACAUUGGGACUGAGACACGGCCCAAACUCCUACGGGAGGCAGCAGUAGGGAAUCUUCCACAAUGGACGAAAGUCUGAUGGAGCAACGCCGCGUGAGUGAAGAAGGGUUUCGGCUCGUAAAACUCUGUUGUUAAAGAAGAACAUAUCUGAGAGUAACUGUUCAGGUAUUGACGGUAUUUAACCAGAAAGCCACGGCUAACUACGUGCCAGCAGCCGCGGUAAUACGUAGGUGGCAAGCGUUGUCCGGAUUUAUUGGGCGUAAAGCGAGCGCAGGCGGUUUUUUAAGUCUGAUGUGAAAGCCUUCGGCUCAACCGAAGAAGUGCAUCGGAAACUGGGAAACUUGAGUGCAGAAGAGGACAGUGGAAACUCCAUGUGUAGCGGUGAAAUGCGUAGAUAUAUGGAAAGAACACCAGUGGCGAAAGCGGCUGUCUGGUCUGUAACUGACGCUGAGGCUCGAAAGUAUGGGUAGCAAACAGGAUUAGAUACCCUGGUAGUCCAUACCGUAACGAUGAUGCUAAGUGUGUUGGGAGGGUUCCGGCCCUUUCAGUGCUGCAGCUAACGCAUUAGCAUCACUGGGGAGUUACGGCCGCAGCUGAACUCGACGUAUGGACCGGAGUCGCCAUGCGGUAAAACGCGAGGCGCCAGCCGAUUUGUAAGUCUGGAUGUGAAAGCUUCGGCUCCAAACCCGAAGAAGUGCAUCCGGGAACUUGGGAAACUUGAGUGCAGAAGAGGACAGUGGAAACUCCCAUGUGGUAGCGGUGAAAUGCGUAGAUAUAUGGAAGAACACCCAGUGGCGAAGGGCGGCUGUCUGGUCUGUAACUGACGCUGAGGCUCGAAAGUAUGGGUAGCAAACAGGAUUAGAUACCCUGGUAGUCCAUACCGUAAACGAUGAAUGCUAAGUGUUGGAGGGUUUCCGCCCUUCAGUGCUGCAGCUAACGCAUUAAGCAUUCCGCCUGGGGAGUACGGCCGCAAGGCUGAAACUCAAAGGAAUUGACGGGGGCCCGCACAAGCGGUGGAGCAUGUGGUUUAAUUCGAAGCUACGCGAAGAACCUUACCAGGUCUUGACAUACUAUGCAAAUCUAAGAGAUUAGACGUUCCCUUCGGGGACAUGGAUACAGGUGGUGCAUGGUUGUCGUCAGCUCGUGUCGUGAGAUGUUGGGUUAAGUCCCGCAACGAGCGCAACCCUUAUUAUCAGUUGCCAGCAUUAAGUUGGGCACUCUGGUGAGACUGCCGGUGACAAACCGGAGGAAGGUGGGGAUGACGUCAAAUCAUCAUGCCCCUUAUGACCUGGGCUACACACGUGCUACAAUGGAUGGUACAACGAGUUGCGAACUCGCGAGAGUAAGCUAAUCUCUUAAAGCCAUUCUCAGUUCGGAUUGUAGGCUGCAACUCGCCUACAUGAAGUCGGAAUCGCUAGUAAUCGCGGAUCAGCAUGCCGCGGUGAAUACGUUCCCGGGCCUUGUACACACCGCCCGUCACACCAUGAGAGUUUGUAACACCCAAAGUCGGUGGGGUAACCUUUUAGGAACCAGCCGCCUAAGGUGGGACAGAUGAUAGGGUGAAGUCGAAUCAUGUUGCAC